This 253-nucleotide ribosomal RNA is filed under the name uncultured bacterium. Its description in RNAcentral is "partial 16S ribosomal RNA". It matches the Rfam family "Bacterial small subunit ribosomal RNA", at positions 524 to 776 of the family's 1533-position model. The record is from RNAcentral.
UACAGAGGGGGCAAGCGUUAUUCGGAAUUAUUGGGCGUAAAGGGCGCGUAGGCGGCUUUGCAAGUGACGGGUGAAAGCCCUCGGCUUAACCGAGGAACUGCCUGUCAGACUGUAAGGCUUGAGACCGGGAGAGGUGAGUGGAAUUCCCAGUGUAGCGGUGAAAUGCGUAGAUAUUGGGAGGAACACCAGUGGCGAAGGCGGCUCACUGGACCGGAACUGACGCUGAGGUGCGAAAGCGUGGGGAGCAAACAGG